RNAcentral lists this ribosomal RNA (253 nucleotides) under uncultured bacterium. RNAcentral describes it as "partial 16S ribosomal RNA". It matches the Rfam family "Bacterial small subunit ribosomal RNA", at positions 524 to 776 of the family's 1533-position model. The record is from RNAcentral.
UACGUAGGGGGCAAGCGUUGUCCGGAAUCAUUGGGCGUAAAGAGCGUGUAGGCGGUCCGGUAAGUCGGCUGUGAAAGUCCAGGGCUCAACCCUGGGAUGCCGGUCGAUACUGCCGGACUAGAGUUCGGAAGAGGCGAGUGGAAUUCCCGGUGUAGCGGUGAAAUGCGCAGAUAUCGGGAGGAACACCUAUGGCGAAGGCAGCUCGCUGGGACGUUACUGACGCUGAGACGCGAAAGCCAGGGGAGCGAACGGG